RNAcentral lists this ribosomal RNA (254 nucleotides) under uncultured bacterium. RNAcentral describes it as "partial 16S ribosomal RNA". It matches the Rfam family "Bacterial small subunit ribosomal RNA", at positions 524 to 776 of the family's 1533-position model. The record is from RNAcentral.
UACGUAGGGUGCAAGCGUUGUCCGGAAUUAUUGGGCGUAAAGAGCUUGUAGGUGGUUUGUCGCGUCUGCUGUGAAAAUCCGAGGCUCAACCUCGGACUUGCAGUGGGUACGGGCAGACUAGAGUGUGGUAGGGGAGACUGGAAUUCCUGGUGUAGCGGUGGAAUGCGCAGAUAUCAGGAGGAACACCGGUGGCGAAGGCGGGUCUCUGGGCAGUAACUGACGCUGGAGGAGCGAAAGCGUGGGGAGCGAACAGG